ACCGCGAUAGCUCAGCUGGUAGAGCAUCUGCCCAGUAAGUAGAGUGUCAUCGGUUCGUUUCCGGCUUGCGGCG
This 73-nucleotide transfer RNA is filed under the name Fasciola gigantica. It matches the Rfam family "tRNA". From Rfam's summary of the family: Transfer RNA (tRNA) molecules are approximately 80 nucleotides in length. Their secondary structure includes four short double-helical elements and three loops (D, anti-codon, and T loops). The record is from Rfam by way of RNAcentral. Lineage: Eukaryota; Metazoa; Platyhelminthes; Trematoda; Plagiorchiida; Fasciolidae.